Molecule: transfer RNA, 71 nt
Organism: Heterobasidion irregulare TC 32-1
Lineage: Eukaryota; Fungi; Basidiomycota; Agaricomycetes; Russulales; Bondarzewiaceae
Rfam family: tRNA
About the family: Transfer RNA (tRNA) molecules are approximately 80 nucleotides in length. Their secondary structure includes four short double-helical elements and three loops (D, anti-codon, and T loops).
Source: Rfam
GCACUGAUGGGGUAGUGGUAACCUGGGUCGUUGCCAUCGACCCGCCGGGGGUUCAAUUCCCCCUCAGUGCA